GGAUCCAGACUUUGAUCAUGGCUCAGGAUGAACGCUAGCGACAGGCUUAACACAUGCAAGUCGAGGGGCAGCAUGAUUUGUAGCAAUACAGAUUGAUGGCGACCGGCGCACGGGUGAGUAACGCGUAUGCAACUUACCUAUCAGAGGGGGAUAGCCCGGCGAAAGUCGGAUUAAUACCCCAUAAAACAGGGGUCCCGCAUGGGAAUAUUUGUUAAAGAUUCAUCGCUGAUAGAUAGGCAUGCGUUCCAUUAGGCAGUUGGCGGGGUAACGGCCCACCAAACCGACGAUGGAUAGGGGUUCUGAGAGGAAGGUCCCCCACAUUGGUACUGGGACACGGACCAAACUCCUACGGGAGGCAGCAGUGAGGAAUAUUGGUCAAUGGCCGAGAGGCUGAACCAGCCAAGUCGCGUGAAGGAAGAAGGAUCUAUGGUUUGUAAACUUCUUUUAUAGGGGAAUAAAGUGGAGGACGUGUCCUUUUUUGUAUGUACCCUAUGAAUAAGCAUCGGCUAACUCCGUGCCAGCAGCCGCGGUAAUACGGAGGAUGCGAGCGUUAUCCGGAUUUAUUGGGUUUAAAGGGUGCGUAGGUGGUGAUUUAAGUCAGCGGUGAAAGUUUGUGGCUCAACCAUAAAAUUGCCGUUGAAACUGGGUUACUUGAGUGUGUUUGAGGUAGGCGGAAUGCGUGGUGUAGCGGUGAAAUGCAUAGAUAUCACGCAGAACUCCGAUUGCGAAGGCAGCUUACUAAACCAUAACUGACACUGAAGCACGAAAGCGUGGGGAUCAAACAGGAUUAGAUACCCUGGUAGUCCACGCAGUAAACGAUGAUUACUAGGAGUUUGCGAUACAAUGUAAGCUCUACAGCGAAAGCGUUAAGUAA
RNAcentral lists this ribosomal RNA (874 nucleotides) under uncultured Bacteroidota bacterium. RNAcentral describes it as "bacterial SSU rRNA". It matches the Rfam family "Bacterial small subunit ribosomal RNA", at positions 1 to 867 of the family's 1533-position model. Lineage: Bacteria; Pseudomonadati; Bacteroidota. The record is from RNAcentral.